UACGUAGGUGGCGAGAGUUGUCCGGAUUUACUGGGCGUAAAGGGAGCGUAGGCGGACUUUUAAGUGAGAUGUGAAAUACCCGGGCUCAACUUGGGUGCUGCAUUUCAAACUGGAAGUCUAGAGUGCAGGAGAGGAGAAUGGAAUUCCUAGUGUAGCGGUGAAAUGCGUAGAGAUUAGGAAGAACACCAGUGGCGAAGGCGAUUCUCUGGACUGUAACUGACACUGAGGCACGAAAGCGUGGGGAGCAAACAGGAUUAGAUACCCCU
This 266-nucleotide ribosomal RNA is filed under the name uncultured prokaryote. RNAcentral describes it as "partial 16S ribosomal RNA". It matches the Rfam family "Bacterial small subunit ribosomal RNA", at positions 524 to 788 of the family's 1533-position model. The record is from RNAcentral.